AUAUUGAGUCUCAUAUCAUUUGUCUAUUGAGCUUUGGUUUGCAUCUUUUUUUCUUUCAACAUCUUUUUUUUUCUUUGGUGGCAAAGUUGCAACAUGUAAUCGCAACUUUAGUAUCGGAGAACACUGGGAUAACAUAAUAUGCUUCUGGUGUUACCAGAAUCACUUUUAUCCCUUAUCCACUUCAUUCAGUUUCAAGUGUGCAAAAUCUUAUGAACCUCUAUUAGUAACUAAUGAUUUUUGGUUUAGUAGAUAUCCAAGACACUUGGUGGGCAUGCUCGCCGAGUCUAUGUUGGUAGUGGCUACAUUAUUUAGUCAAGUUAUGACUGCUGUUGGUGGAAACACUGCUGGUCCAGUUGAUGCUGUUGUUAAUGUUUAUGUAAACCAUGAGAAGUUUGCUUUUGUGGAGAUGCGAUCUUUUGAAGAGGCAAGUAACACAAUGUCUUUGGAUGGCAUGAUAUUUGAGAUAUUGCGUGCGCUGCGGCGUCAAAAUGGGAGAUAACACUCUUACUGUGAGACGUGCGAAUCAAGGAAUAACGCAACAUCAACCUGAACAAGAGAGUAUAUUGUUGCAUGCACAACAGCAGAUUGCUUUUCAGGUGCGUGGUCAAAUGUUGUGAGUCCGCGUCCUAUCCCCAGCGGUGAGCCAGUUGCAGGCCUUGGCAAGAUAAAUAAGCGACAUAAAGAAGCUCUCAAGUAUCUUAAAGAUUUCAAGUGGAAUAGAAUUGAAGAACCAAAAGAGUUCACACUUGAGCUAUUCUUUGUGGCUUAUUGCACUGAAGAACAACGAGAUUGUCGGCUUCGAGAACUCUUACUACCAGAACACUGUCUUCACCAAGACAUAUCACAUGAUUGAUAAAUAUAAGCUUAUCUCGAGAAGGUCAUUGGGUCCAAUGUGAGAAAAAAAGAAGCUGGAGUAUGGCAGAUGAAAGGAAGCCAAAAGUGAAGAAAAAGAGACGAGAGAUUCAUCACGAAUGUGUUGUAUUUAUACCCUAUGUGUUUUCAGUUAUCGUCUAAUUUUUCACAUUUGUAAUAGGUUCUCA
Molecule: long non-coding RNA, 1040 nt
Organism: Brassica oleracea var. oleracea
Lineage: Eukaryota; Viridiplantae; Streptophyta; Magnoliopsida; Brassicales; Brassicaceae
Exons: 7
Source: RefSeq, a predicted model, not a curated record